CAUCGGAAGAAGGGGAGGAGGAUGAAGAUGGAGAGUCCAGAUCCGAGAUCGGGACCCGACCGAAUUUCGGGUCAUCGGUGCGGGCUGAAUCAUUGAAGCGGCAACCAGUUUACGGCAAUACGGCUAAGUCUGAUGAGGCGGGGUCAUCGGCGAGUUUCAGAACUGGAGAUAUCUCCGAUUUGAAGAUGGUUGUGAGGCAUAAGGAUUUGAAAGAGAUAGCGGUGGCUAUUAAGGAGAAUUUUGACAAGGCUGCAACGGCUGGAGAUCAGGUCUCGGAGAUGCUCGAGAUCAGUAGGGCUCAGCUUGAUCGAAGUUUCCGGCAAUUGAAGAAGACGGUGUA
This 340-nucleotide unclassified non-coding RNA is filed under the name Hevea brasiliensis (rubber tree). The record is from RNAcentral. Lineage: Eukaryota; Viridiplantae; Streptophyta; Magnoliopsida; Malpighiales; Euphorbiaceae.